Molecule: small RNA, 177 nt
Filed under: Peromyscus maniculatus bairdii (prairie deer mouse)
Lineage: Eukaryota; Metazoa; Chordata; Mammalia; Rodentia; Cricetidae
Description: TUC338 (ENSPEMG00000004597.2)
Source: RNAcentral
UUAAAAGGCCGAGAGACUGAAGUCCCCCACUUUCUCAUGGAACAGGUAGAACCUGGACAACAGCAGUUCAGCUUUACUCCACACCACCCUGCCAAUGUGCUCCGACCUGGGGGGGCCCCCGUCGCUGGGGUGAGAGGGUAGCUCAUUCAUUGAGCCCCUGGCCAUUCUUCUGAAACU